AGUAGUUCAAUUGGUAGAGCAUCGGUCUCCAAAACCGAGUGUUGAGGGUUCAAGUCCUUCCUG
RNAcentral lists this transfer RNA (63 nucleotides) under uncultured Olsenella sp. It matches the Rfam family "tRNA", at positions 6 to 65 of the family's 71-position model. From Rfam's summary of the family: Transfer RNA (tRNA) molecules are approximately 80 nucleotides in length. Lineage: Bacteria; Bacillati; Actinomycetota; Coriobacteriia; Coriobacteriales; Atopobiaceae. The record is from RNAcentral.